AAGACAACAACAAAAGGAAAACGUAAAACAAAAAAAAAAUGGUUGUCUCGACAGCAAAAGUCGAUUCGACAACAUAGAUCAGAUUCAGUCGAAGAUGGAUCAGACAACCUCUAUUUUCGAAUUGGAAAACUCAGAGUAAGAUCCAUCAUCAAUUUGUAAAAGCUGGAGUUUCCGAUGGCGUCUUCAAUUGAUAAGUGAGGAACUCGAAUGACGAACACUUACCUGUGAGUUUUGGAUUUCUUUUUCCUUGCAAGUAGGGAAAAAAUUCCGUCUACAAUGGAUCACUAAGGGUAACAUUACUUUCAGUAAAAUUAUAAUUGGGGAACAAAUGUGUUGAAGGUUGACUUAGAAGAAAGCAGUAAUUUGGAUAUAUUUUCCCUUGCAAGUAGUUUACGAAUUAAAGAUAAGAUACUGAAUCUUUGUUUAGUUUUUUUCAUACUGUAUUUUCCAUUAAAAUCAAGUCUAAUGUGAAUCUGGUUUUAUUUUUGUCAGGUUAAUUCCUGUUACAGGGUUACAUAAUUUAAACUUUGAAAAUAGAAGUGGAAGAGUAAAGAAGCAAUCUAUAUGGGGCUAUACUGGUUAUUUGAGAUUCUGAGCAAUGAAUAAUAAAAGUGUCUGAUAAUGCAUAUAUUGAUUCUUGUAUUUAGUCAAGUUGAAGUACAUAACUGAAGUAAAAAACCGUAACUAAGAACUGCUAUCACCACAAUGUGUCUUUAAGCAGAAGGAAGUGUUUCUGUUGGAGCAACCCGGCGGUGUAGAUUGGUGAUGUUCGUGAGAACAGCUAUUGAAGAUCUCUGAGUCAAUCCGGAGCUGUUAUUUUCAAUUGAAUGCAUCCCCAAGAAAGAACUUGAACCUGGAUUGGACUGUUGAAGAGAUGUUGGUGUCCUAAAAUUACCAGUAGAAGAAUGACCAAGGCUAUUUUGCCGUAUGGUGGGAUUAUGAAUUCCAGUGAAACAUGCGGUCAAGAUAUCUACAAAGAAGGAUUUUAUCUUCACAAAUCUGAGGACACAGGUGAUGAUGCUUCCAUCAGAGUCUUGACACGUAUGUAAAUACGUGCCCGGCCAAUGAACCCCACAAGGGACGAACAUCUUUCAAGAAAGCAAAAGUAGAAGCCAUAACUUGGGUGACUACUUACCCAGUGAAUGCUUGUGUAUGAUCUUCGUUUUAGAGAUUUGGAAAUCAAGCAGGUGUAACAAUGAUCUCGCAGAAGAUCAUCAUGAAAGGCAAGUAAAAUCCUUCUAUUUUCUAUAUAUUUUUUGAAGAUAAACGAUUGGGGGGGGGGAAUAUUUCAGGGUUUUGAGAUUUUACAAAAAUAUUUGUUUGGGCUUGUUAAAAAAUAAAUUGUAAUCAUGGAGCUCAAAUUUACAUUUCAACUAAUAAAGAGAGUGGCAGGGUUGUAAAUAA
Non-coding RNA from Camelina sativa (false flax), 1404 nucleotides. NCBI's taxonomy places the organism in Eukaryota, Viridiplantae, Streptophyta, Magnoliopsida, Brassicales, Brassicaceae. The record is from RefSeq and is a predicted model, not a curated record.